CUAACGGCUCUUUUAAGAGCCACCCAUCUUCUCAAAGAAAGAGCUG
This is a regulatory RNA element of Nomascus leucogenys (northern white-cheeked gibbon), 46 nucleotides long. It matches the Rfam family "Histone 3' UTR stem-loop". Rfam says of the family: The mRNAs of metazoan histone genes lack a poly-A tail. 3' end processing occurs at a site between a highly conserved stem-loop (modelled by this family) and a purine rich region around 20 nts downstream (the histone downstream element, or HDE). The record is from Rfam. Lineage: Eukaryota; Metazoa; Chordata; Mammalia; Primates; Hylobatidae.